Bacillus thuringiensis BMB171 is the source of this 205-nucleotide non-coding RNA. The record is from Rfam. Lineage: Bacteria; Bacillati; Bacillota; Bacilli; Caryophanales; Bacillaceae.
GAAAACUAAUAUUCUGAAAGGUAGAAUGAGGAGGUAACGCUCUAAAAUGCCUUCCCUGAUACUCCGAUAUGCAAUCUUGUUGAUAAAGACAAGAUUGUAUAAAGCUCGGUAAAGUCGGUUGAAUGUUACCCCAGUAUGCUCUAAAAGGCAUAUGGAAAACUGCUCAGAGGUGAGUGGCGUAGCAGAUAGACCGGGGGUCUAUAAA